UUUAGAAAAUGUCUUCACCUUUCCACAUCAAAUCAUCCGGAAAUUGAUUCAGCAAUCUGCCAGGUUAAAUACCAAAUACAAAUAUGUUAAUACGGAAUGCUCUGAGGAUUUUUUGAGGACACAUUUUAUGACCCAGGUACACUGUCAGAGUGACAGCAUACUUUGAUGAAAUUGUGCUAAAACUGGCUGCACUGAUAGAUUUGUUUUUGAUUGUUUGACACUUCUAAAUAUUUUAGUUUUCUGCAGAAAAAAUCUCAGAAAACUAACGACUGAUUUUUGUCGACGUCGGGCGCCAGUUACAGUUACAGUUUGAAAUUAUAUCUCACCUCGGAUGAACGUGCCCGUUAUGUGUUACCCCGCAACAGCUGACUUAACUGAUUGUUCAAAUCCUCGAAUUUAUCCUGCUCGCUGUUGUUCAUGUUUUUAUUACUUUCCCCUAGUUCUACACAAUCAUUAGCCAUUGGAUCGGUUCGUGAUUUUAGGGAAUAGUAAACGUUAUGAAAAAAUCCAUUGUAUAAUAUAAUUAUAGUGUAUAGUUCAUGAAUCCGAAGUGGUUCAAAAGGAUGUCGCUGUACAGAUUCAGAGCGGCCGCUUCCAGCUCAGCAAAAGUGAAAGCCACUUGACGGUUAAAUUCGUAGUGUGUCCGCUGAUAGCGCUCGGGGACAGAAAAAUCUCAUAGGUCAGAGUCGCUUCCGACUUCGUUACCGUCAACAUUAAACACAACAGCAAGAUACUUGGAAAGGACUCUCGUUCGAACAAACAUAAUGGAAGCGUAUUCUACACGCACAUAUUCACUCGGGCCAACCGUGUGACUCAUUUGGAAAAAGGACUCAUCGUCGGUUUCAUGGCAGCGAAGUGAGCAGACAAAAAAGGCAUCGUUUUUUCCACAUGAUCGUUCUGAGCAAAAUUCAGCGAUUUGCCAGGCAUAAACCACCGAUGAGACAGUACCCGUUCGGAUUCAGGACGUUUUCCCAUACAUUGUACCCGGUCGAAGCGAUGCAGAUAACUGGGUCAAAAAGGCGGAGGUUCUGCGAAUUUCUGCACUCGUUAGCGAUCUGAGUAUGACCAAGGACAAGGAAUCAGAACCGGCGACUGACAGUCCAGAGAAAGAGAAUGCGGAAAAACCUUCUAGUCCAUAGCUCCUGAAGAAAAACGAGCUGAAGCGAAUAUGGAGAAACAGCUUCCUCCACGGAAAAUGCAGAGGCAUGCAACGCGGCGGAUGCAAGUUUGCUAAUUGAAAUUAUUCGCAAAGAUCUAGUAGAAUUAAAACUGGAGGUGCUGCGAAACGAUCCUUUUUCGACGCUAUACUCGGUUAAAACUAUCGACGCUUUGCACCUGAUGCCGGAACUGCCCACCCCGAGAGCAGAUGAGCGCUGGGGAAUGUUUUCAGCCACCUGGAGGAGGAAGUUCAGCGCGGAAGAAAUGUUACCUGACUUCGCCGAUCUGGUAUCUGGACUUUUUUGAUGAUCUCAUAGAGAUUGGGUGUGCAGAUGGGCGUUUAAAGUUCUGGGAGGGAACGACUGGUAGCUUUUAGGAUAUAUAUGAAGCUGAAAACAACCACAACAAUGGGGUAACUAACAUAAACCUCGCCGGUGACAAAGUGAUAGUCGCACGGUUGAGUGAACGAAUCGAUUUUCUGAGACUGGAAACGUACACGUAAGGUUUUCAGAUCGAUUGGGGAUUUACGUCUGCAUAUGGGCGAACCCACGUACGCAGCGGUUCGGCAGGAAGCAUUAGUUUAUUUCAGCAACCCGCCGGCUCAAAUCCGUCCACAGCGUUGCCAGCUCAACAUCACGCAUCCGAGGAGGAGCUUCGAUGUAUCCUGGAGUUUCACCAGCAGGGUCACCGGUUACAUGUUUGGAAGUGGCGGGCGGUACAGUCAUUACUGGCAGCCAGGGCCACACUGUUAACGUGUUCCGGCUUGAUAGCCACCUAUUGCAGUUCACCCUAAACGGCCAUUGCGGUCCUAUCACAUGUAUUUUCAUAGACCAGUGGCAGGCCGAGAUGGGCGCAUCUGGUUGCCAGGAUGGUGUGCUAUGUGUGUGGGACUUGAUACGGGGUGCCUGUAUGUACAAAAUUGAAGCCCAUGACGACAUGACGUCGCACUUGCCUGUUCCCCGAGUUACGCAAUAUCGCUCGGACUGAACGAACGAAUACGGUUUUGGGAUAGAUUUCAGGGUCAGCCGCUCAACACCAUCACCGUCAGUCAUGCAUAUUCAUCGCUUGUGAUGCUGACGCUUCUGAACGAAGCCAUUGCUAGCACGAGUUUUUGAUUUGGA
Topomyia yanbarensis is the source of this 2279-nucleotide long non-coding RNA. RefSeq lists it as uncharacterized. The record is from RefSeq and is a predicted model, not a curated record. The transcript has 7 exons. NCBI's taxonomy places the organism in Eukaryota, Metazoa, Arthropoda, Insecta, Diptera, Culicidae.